CUUGAUCGAGCCGAGCCACAGUGGCCGGUCCUCCGGCCUGCCCUGCCCGUACGUGGCCAGCAGCGCCUGGGCCUC
Molecule: non-coding RNA, 75 nt
Organism: Streptomyces autolyticus
Lineage: Bacteria; Bacillati; Actinomycetota; Actinomycetes; Kitasatosporales; Streptomycetaceae
Source: Rfam